UCCUCAAUAGCUCAAUAGGUAGAGCAUUCGGCUGUUAACCGAAGUGUCGCAGGUUCGAGUCCUGCUUGGGGAG
This 73-nucleotide transfer RNA is filed under the name Lachnospiraceae bacterium. RNAcentral's name for it is "tRNA-Asn". It matches the Rfam family "tRNA". Rfam says of the family: Transfer RNA (tRNA) molecules are approximately 80 nucleotides in length. Their secondary structure includes four short double-helical elements and three loops (D, anti-codon, and T loops). Lineage: Bacteria; Bacillati; Bacillota; Clostridia; Lachnospirales; Lachnospiraceae. The record is from RNAcentral.